Molecule: ribosomal RNA, 305 nt
Filed under: uncultured bacterium
Lineage: Bacteria
Description: bacterial SSU rRNA
Rfam family: Bacterial small subunit ribosomal RNA
Source: RNAcentral
UAAUCCCUACGGGACGCAGCAGUGAGGAAUAUUGGUCAAUGGGAGAGAUCCUGAACCAGCCAAGCCGCGUGAGGGAAGACGGCCCUAUGGGUUGUAAACCUCUUUUGUCGGAGAACAAAACCCGGGACGUGUCCCGGACUGCGUGUAUCCGAAGAAAAAGCAUCGGCUAACUCCGUGCCAGCAGCCGCGGUAAUACGGAGGAUGCGAGCGUUAUCCGGAAUGAUUGGGCGUAAAGGGUGCGCAGGCGGUCCUGCAAGUCUGGAGUGAAACGCAUGAGCUCAACUCAUGCAUGGCUUUGGAAACUG